RNAcentral lists this ribosomal RNA (501 nucleotides) under uncultured bacterium. RNAcentral's name for it is "partial 16S ribosomal RNA". It matches the Rfam family "Bacterial small subunit ribosomal RNA", at positions 30 to 523 of the family's 1533-position model. The record is from RNAcentral.
AUUGAACGCUGGCGGCAUGCCUUACACAUGCAAGUCGAACGGCAGCACGGGUGCUUGCACCUGGUGGCGAGUGGCGAACGGGUGAGUAAUAUAUCGGAACGUACCUUAUUGUGGGGGAUAACGCAGCGAAAGCUGUGCUAAUACCGCAUAAUCCCUAAGGGGGAAAGCGGGGGACCGUAAGGCCUCGCGCAAUUAGAGCGGCCGAUACCUGAUUAGCUAGUUGGUGAGGUAAAGGCUCACCAAGGCAACGAUCAGUAGCUGGUCUGAGAGGACGGUCAGCCACUCGGGGACUGAGACACGGCCCCGACUCCUACGGGAGGCAGCAGUGGGGAAUUUUGGACAAUGGGGGCAACCCUGAUCCAGCAAUGCCGCGUGAGUGAAGAAGGCCUUCGGGUUGUAAAGCUCUUUUGUCAGGGAAGAAACAGCAGCUCUAACACAGUUUGCGAAUGACGGUACCUGAAGAAUAAGCACCGGCUAACUACGUGCCAGCCGCCGCCGUAA